GAUGAACGCUGGCGGCGUGCCUAAUACAUGCAAGUCGAGCGAACAGACGAGAGUGCUUGCACUCUCUUACGUUAGCGGCGCACGGGUGAGACACACGUGGGUCACCUACCUAUAAGACUGGGAUCAUUUCGGGAAACCGGCGCUAAUCCCGGAUUAUAUUUAGCUUCGCAUGACGCAAUAGUGAAAGACUGUUCUGCUGUCUCUUAUAGAUGGACCCGCGGUGUAUUAGCUAGUUGGUGAGGUAACGGCUCACCAAGGCAACGAUACAUAGCCGACCUGAGAGGGUGAUCGGCCACACUGGAACUGAGACACGGCCCAGACUCCUACGGGAGGCAGCAGUAGGGAAUCUUCCGCAAUGGACGAAAGUCUGACGGAGCAAUGCCGCGUGAGUGAAGAAGGUUUUCGGAUCGUAAAACUCUGUUGUAAGGGAAGAACAAGUACGUUAGUAACUGAACGUACCUUGACGGUACCUUACCAGAAAGCCACGGCUAACUACGUG
RNAcentral lists this ribosomal RNA (499 nucleotides) under uncultured bacterium. RNAcentral describes it as "partial 16S ribosomal RNA". It matches the Rfam family "Bacterial small subunit ribosomal RNA", at positions 28 to 507 of the family's 1533-position model. The record is from RNAcentral.